This 636-nucleotide ribosomal RNA is filed under the name Piloderma bicolor. RNAcentral's name for it is "eukaryotic LSU rRNA". The stretch from base 246 to 400 matches the Rfam family "5.8S ribosomal RNA". Lineage: Eukaryota; Fungi; Basidiomycota; Agaricomycetes; Atheliales; Atheliaceae. The record is from RNAcentral.
AAGUAAAAGUCGUAACAAGGUUUCCGUAGGUGAACCUGCGGAAGGAUCAUUAUUGAAAUUAUAGGCAAAGGUUGUAGCUGGCCUCUCGGGGCAUGUGCACGCCUGAGCCCCUUAAUCCACACACACCUGUGAACCAAUUGUAAGGGCCCCCUGAAAAGGGCCUUUACGUCUUAUUCAUCAACCCAUUGCAUGUCUCAGAAUGUAAACAUAUGUCCUCGCCUUAAAAAGCGUUGAUAAACUUAUACAACUUUCAACAACGGAUCUCUUGGCUCUCGCAUCGAUGAAGAACGCAGCGAAAUGCGAUAAGUAAUGUGAAUUGCAGAUUUUCAGUGAAUCAUCGAAUCUUUGAACGCACCUUGCGCUCCUUGGUAUUCCGAGGAGCAUGCCUGUUUGAGUGUCAUUAAAUUCUCAACUCCGAUCGAUUUGUUUCGACCUCGGAGCUUGGACUUUGGAGUGUGCUGGCGUCGGUCGGCUCCUCUCAAAUGCAUCAGCGGAAUCUAACGUUUCGGACGUCAGUGUGAUAAUCACGUUGCGCUGUCAACCGAUCCUGAAAGGCCCGCUCAUAAUGGUCUUCGGACAACUUCAUAUCAAAUUUGACCUCAAAUCAGGUAGGACUACCCGCUGAACUUAAGCAUA